Drosophila mojavensis is the source of this 651-nucleotide long non-coding RNA. RefSeq lists it as uncharacterized. NCBI's taxonomy places the organism in Eukaryota, Metazoa, Arthropoda, Insecta, Diptera, Drosophilidae. The record is from RefSeq and is a predicted model, not a curated record. The transcript has 2 exons.
UAUAUUUAUAAAAUUAGAAACGAAAAGACAUAUUAUUAAUUUAUCAUUUUUUAUUAUUCCCGCGUCUCUUUUCCUGUCCCAUGCUCGAAUGAAACUGUUAAAGCUACUAUGCUGUUACCUCACUGUUAUAGUUGCUAACAGUACGCGCGCAAUUCAAAAUUACAGCGUCAAUUUUGACUGUGAAUAACACUUUUAGUCACAUCUUUAUCAAUUUGAUAAAGUUUGAAGAAGUUCCAACUAAUGUCAUAAAAUAAAUUUCAUUCGCCAAGAUAAAGCGGUUCGAGCGAGAACAUCAUGAAUAGUUUAACGCUUAAAAUUUUUCUGAUAGUUGGUGCAUUCCUUACACUAUUAUACCCCACCAAUGGAUGUUACGAGCUAGGCUGCGGUGGAAACGGUGUCCAACGGGCAAAAAAGAGAGCAGUUAGGUCUUUAAGCAAUGCGAGAGAAACUAUUCUGCGUUCUGCGGAGCAUUUGCGUAAUUGAAAAAAUAUCGGAAUCGAUCAACUUCCAGAAGUAUUUGGUGAAUAUAUACCGGGUUAGGAACUUCCCGAUUAUAUUUUGUCAUCCUAUCUGGUAACUCAAUAUGGUAAUACAUAAAUGUGGAAUUUUUAUAAUUGAUUUAAUAAAAUUAUAGGACGCAGGUAAAAAAAA